AUUGAACGCUGGCGGCAUGCCUUACACAUGCAAGUCGAACGGCAGCACGGGUGCUUGCACCUGGUGGCGAGUGGCGAACGGGUGAGUAAUACAUCGGAACAUGUCCUGUAGUGGGGGAUAGCCCGGCGAAAGCCGGAUUAAUACCGCAUACGAUCUACGGAUGAAUGCGGGGGACCUUCGGGCCUCGCGCUAUAGGGUUGGCCGAUGGCUGAUUAGCUAGUUGGUGGGGUAAAGGCCUACCAAGGCGACGAUCAGUAGCUGGUCUGAGAGGACGACCAGCCACACUAGGACUGAGACACGGCCCAGACUCAUACGGGAGGCAGCAGUGGGGAAUUUUGGACAAUGGGCGAAAGCCUGAUCCAGCAAUGCCGCGUGUGUGAAGAAGGCCUUCGGGUUGUAAAGCACUUUUGUCCGGAAAGAAAUCCUUGGCCCUAAUACGGUCGGGGGAUGACGGUACCGGAAGAAUAAGCACCGGCUAACUACGUG
This 486-nucleotide ribosomal RNA is filed under the name uncultured bacterium. RNAcentral describes it as "partial 16S ribosomal RNA". It matches the Rfam family "Bacterial small subunit ribosomal RNA", at positions 30 to 507 of the family's 1533-position model. The record is from RNAcentral.